Molecule: non-coding RNA, 219 nt
Organism: Pelobates cultripes (western spadefoot toad)
Lineage: Eukaryota; Metazoa; Chordata; Amphibia; Anura; Pelobatidae
Source: the annotation of a GenBank genome assembly
CUAUCCGAGUACAGAACCCCAUAUUGUGUUCAGCUACAUCUGCUGAGUAAAACAAUACCCCCAUUGUAUACCUUUGCCCCUAUUCUGUGAAGCUACAAUGCUAUAUAGGAGACCAUGCUAUUUCAGUUUCUAUAGUUGGAAUUUUUAUAGAUGGUCAUAUGUCUGAUUUUGUGGCAUAAUAGCCAUUUGACUGUUCAAAUAACCCCACAAAGGCCUUCC